CCCUUAGAUGUUCUGGGCCGCACGCGCGCUACACUGAUUCAUGCAACAAGUUUUGUCCUUGGCUGGUAGGCCUGGGUAAUCUUUGAACGUGAAUCGUGAUGGGGAUAGAUGAUUGCAAUUAUUCAUCUUCAACGAGGAAUUCCUAGUAAACGCAAGUCAUCAGCUUGCAUUGAUUACGUCCCUGCCCUUUGUACACACCGCCCGUCGCACCUGCCGAUUGAAUGGUCCGGUGAAAUCUUCGGAUCUGAGAGAUGUCUGAUUAAUUUCGGACGCCUUUUGGAAAAGUUGUUUAAACCUUACCAUUUAGAGGAAGGUGAAGUCGUANCA
This 327-nucleotide ribosomal RNA is filed under the name uncultured eukaryote. RNAcentral's name for it is "partial 18S ribosomal RNA". It matches the Rfam family "Eukaryotic small subunit ribosomal RNA", at positions 1470 to 1796 of the family's 1831-position model. The record is from RNAcentral.